GUCUACGGCCAUGCCACCCUGAACAAGCCCGAUUCCGUCUGAUCUCGGAAGCUAAACAGGGUCGGGCCUGAUUAAUACUUGGAUGGGAGACCACCUAGGAAGACCGAGUGCUGUAGGCA
RNAcentral lists this ribosomal RNA (119 nucleotides) under Pteropus alecto (black flying fox). Lineage: Eukaryota; Metazoa; Chordata; Mammalia; Chiroptera; Pteropodidae. The record is from RNAcentral.